This 506-nucleotide ribosomal RNA is filed under the name uncultured bacterium. Its description in RNAcentral is "partial 16S ribosomal RNA". It matches the Rfam family "Bacterial small subunit ribosomal RNA", at positions 28 to 523 of the family's 1533-position model. The record is from RNAcentral.
GAUGAACGCUAGCUACAGGCUUAACACAUGCAAGUCGAGGGGUAACGAGAGGAAAGCUUGCUUUCCUUGUCGACGACCGGCGCACGGGUGAGUAACGCGUAUCCAACCUGCCCCCAACUAAGGAAUAACCUUGCGAAAGUAAGACUAAUACCUUAUAAUUUCCUCAGAUGACAUCUGACGAGGAAUAAAGAUUUAUCGGUUGUGGAUGGGGAUGCGUCUGAUUAGCUUGUUGGCGGGGUAACGGCCCACCAAGGCAACGAUCAGUAGGGGUUCUGAGAGGAAGGUCCCCCACAUUGGAACUGAGACACGGUCCAAAAGCCUACGGGAGGCAGCAGUGAGGAAUAUUGGUCAAUGGGCGGAAGCCUGAACCAGCCAAGUAGCGUGCAGGAUGACGGCCCUAUGGGUUGUAAACUGCUUUUAUACAGGAAUAAAGUUAGCCACGUGUGGUUAUUUGUAGGUACUGUAUGAAUAAGGACCGGCUAAUUCCGUGCCAGCCGCCGCCGUAA